RNAcentral lists this long non-coding RNA (1348 nucleotides) under Homo sapiens (human). RNAcentral describes it as "long intergenic non-protein coding RNA 1539". Lineage: Eukaryota; Metazoa; Chordata; Mammalia; Primates; Hominidae. The record is from RNAcentral.
AGCACAGCGUGUCACCAGAGAGGAAAAGAAUAUCCUUGCUGUGCCAAGAAAGAAAAGACCAUGGAUCUACUAGUUGCAGAUUUCAGCAGUAAUGCCAAGGGGGCAAGAAGUGACCAGCAGAACAAUUAGGCCAUGGCAACAGAAGCCAACUACAACCCAUGUUCCAAUCUAUGACCUCCCUCUCCUGCUGGUACAAGGAUAUGGGCAAGAGCUGAUAAUCAACUGACUAAUGAGGAUUGACUUCUACAAUUGAUGAGCAUGGAAUUGGAUGUGCCUAAAUCAACAGAAGAGGGAUUUUGAUGUCAUCACACUGUAGCCCCAGAAGACAGAACGCUCAAAGGUGUCAAUGGGCAGAAUUUGUAGAUGACAUACAGCAUCCAAUGGAUUACUCCUAUUCAGAUUGUUGUUUUGUUUGCUAGACAUGAUUUUAGGAUUUUGUCAAGGAAGCCAUCUAUGACCCCAAUCAAUCAAAACCAUAAGGAUCAAGGCUGGAAGAACCUAUUCCUUAGAGCAAAGGAUGCAAUGUCAAGCAAGUUGUGAUACCUCAACUAUCUACAAUUUAACACCAAGGAAAGAACACUGUUUGGAGAAAUGAGAAAGAUUAUCAUCAGUGUCUUUCAGAAGUCAUCAAAAGAAGAAAAGGAGAAAAGAGAGGAGAAAGCAGAAAGAUCUGGAGUCUGGGAAGUUCAAGAGCAUGGCACCAACAUCUGGCAAGGGCUUUCAUUCUGCAUCAUCUCAUGGAGGAAAAUAAAAAGGAGGCUGGAUGCUCCUGUGAAGUACGUCUUUUAUCUACUUGCUAUCUUUGCAAUUCCUUCAUGCUACAAUGAGAGAUAGAGUUUAAACCUGAAAACAUUCUUGGAAAAGGAAUCUUCAUUAAUUCAAAUAUACCACAAGGUUCUGCCACUGUGGCCAUCACCUGGGAUUGGAGAAAGGCAAAUGGAACAGACCAACUCAGAAUUACAGUCCUCAUUUAUUUCAUCAGAGGUUGGCCUGUACUUACAUUAGCCCUUUCUGGCUAGAGCUUCAUGUCUCACCCACUGUCUGUUCACUUCUGACCUGAAACAAUGGGACUGCAGAAGAGAGAAGGAAAAUAUCUGGUGGUCAGGCUAACUCUGUGUACCCCAUGAUGAAGAUGUUUUCCAUAGGAGUUCAUUGUCACAGGUGAAAUUUAGGAGCUGUAGCCAAAGAUUUCUUAAGCCUUUCUUUCAAUCAGUGUGCCACAGCUAUUUGAUAUGUCAGUCUCAGCAGCUGAGUUCUGGGAAGAUUCAUCCUCUUCAUGAGCAAAGGGAGAAUGGAAAGGGGAACUGUCCAACCCAAAGAGGGGAAAAUAAAGGAGAGAGGGAUAUAA